Molecule: ribosomal RNA, 253 nt
Filed under: uncultured bacterium
Lineage: Bacteria
Description: partial 16S ribosomal RNA
Rfam family: Bacterial small subunit ribosomal RNA
Source: RNAcentral
UACGGAGGGAGCUAGCGUUGUUCGGAAUUACUGGGCGUAAAGCGCACGUAGGCGGCUUUUUAAGUCAGGGGUGAAAUCCCGGAGCUCAACUCCGGAACUGCCCUUGAAACUGGGAAGCUAGAAUCUUGGAGAGGCGAGUGGAAUUCCGAGUGUAGAGGUGAAAUUCGUAGAUAUUCGGAAGAACACCAGUGGCGAAGGCGACUCGCUGGACAAGUAUUGACGCUGAGGUGCGGAAGCGUGGGGAGCAAACAGG